This 1012-nucleotide ribosomal RNA is filed under the name uncultured bacterium. RNAcentral describes it as "bacterial SSU rRNA". It matches the Rfam family "Bacterial small subunit ribosomal RNA", at positions 471 to 1482 of the family's 1533-position model. The record is from RNAcentral.
GACGGUACUUGAUGAAUAAGCCACGGCUAAUUCCGUGCCAGCAGCCGCGGUAAUACGGGAGUGGCAAGCGUUAUCCGGAAUUAUUGGGCGUAAAGCGUCCGCAGGCGGCCCUUCAAGUCUGCUGUUAAAAAGUGGAGCUUAACUCCAUCCAUGGCAGUGGAAACUGUUGGGCUUGUGUGUGGUAGGGGCAGAGGGAAUUCCCGGUGUAGCGGUGAAAUGCGUAGAUAUCGGGAAGAACACCAGUGGCGAAGGCGCUCUGCUGGGCCAUCACUGACGCUCAUGGACGAAAGCCAGGGGAGCGAAAGGGAUUAGAUACCCCUGUAGUCCUGGCCGUAAACGAUGAACACUAGGUGUCGGGGGAAUCGACCCCCUCGGUGUCGUAGCCAACGCGUUAAGUGUUCCGCCUGGGGAGUACGCACGCAAGUGUGAAACUCAAAGGAAUUGACGGGGGCCCGCACAAGCGGUGGAGUAUGUGGUUUAAUUCGAUGCAACGCGAAGAACCUUACCAGGGUUUGACAUCCUGCGAAUCUCUUGGAAACGAGAGAGUGCCUUCGGGAGCGCAGUGACAGGUGGUGCAUGGCUGUCGUCAGCUCGUGUCGUGAGAUGUUGGGUUAAGUCCCGCAACGAGCGCAACCCACGUCUUUAGUUGCCAGCAUUUAGUUGGGCACUCUAGAGAGACCGCCGGUGAUAAACCGGAGGAAGGUGUGGAUGACGUCAAGUCAUCAUGCCCCUUACAUCCUGGGCUACACACGUACUACAAUGCUACGGACAAAGGGCAGCAAGUUCGCGAGGACAAGCAAAUCCCAUAAACCGUGGCUCAGUUCAGAUCGUAGGCUGCAACUCGCCUACGUGAAGGAGGAAUCGCUAGUAAUCGCAGGUCAGCAUACUGCGGUGAAUACGUUCCCGGGCCUUGUACACACCGCCCGUCACACCAUGGAAGUUGGCCACGCCCGAAGCCGUUACUCCAACCCUCGGGAGGAGGACGUCGAAGGUGGGGCUGAUGACUGGGGUG